This is an RNA transcript of Hyla sarda, 1182 nucleotides long. It is a transcript of the gene named LHFPL tetraspan subfamily member 3 protein-like, with no coding region annotated. NCBI's taxonomy places the organism in Eukaryota, Metazoa, Chordata, Amphibia, Anura, Hylidae. The record is from RefSeq and is a predicted model, not a curated record. The transcript has 6 exons.
GAGAAGGGGAGGGGAACAGUAUUAGCUGCUGCACACGGGACUGAAAAUCCUGCAAAUGUGAUGAUCUGAAGACAGCAAAACACUAUCAGGGUCGCCCCUCAUGGAUCCCGCACAUGUUCAUCUGUAUGAUACAGACUUUGUGAAGAAUGGUCGGGCGGUCACCGUUUUAUGGGCGUCCUGCACUUUGUUCCUCGGGAUCCUGGAGAUUGUUGUGCUCCUGCAGCCCACCUGGGUGUUAGGUGGGGAGGGCAGUGGCCAUUUUGGACUGUACCAGCUUUGUGAAGAGACAGAUUGGGGUACAGAAUGUCGGGGUCCUCAGGGUAUCCUGGAGGCUCUGCCACCAUUCCAGACUGCGGCUGGCUUCAUGCUGGGGGCGCUGCUCUUGGUUCUGCUCAGCCUGGCCUCCAUCAUUCUGCUGUGGUUCUGUCACUCCGGGACGGUCUACAAGCUCUGCGCCUGGCUGCAACUCACUGCUGCUUUCUGCCAGGCUCUGGCCUGUAUCCUGUUCCCGGACGGCUGGGACUCGCCCACUGUGCGCCCCUUUUGUAACUACCGCUCAGACAGAUACGAGCUGGGAACCUGCUCGGUGCAUUGGGGCUUCAUCUUGGCCAUAUUGGGCACCUUCGAUUGCCUGGUUCUCUCCAUUUUGGGGUUCACCCUCGGGAAACGUCAUGAUGCUUUGAACCCCAGUGAAGCUAAACCCAGCAAGAAAGAGUCAGCUAGAGCGGGUGGACUUCUAUGAUGAUAUGGCCGCCUGGUGGGAGGAUGUCAAGGAUGAGAUCAGAACCCUCUUAAAGAGACUGUCCUUUAAAAAGGGGAGGACAGAAUUGACGGUGGCAGAGGUCAAAGAGGCCAUUGAUAAGUUACAUCUGAAGAAGGCACCAGGUCCGGAUGGGAUAACAGCAGAAUUCUAUAAGACAUUCAGAGACCUCUUGGCCCCAAUCCUCGUGGAUGUUUACACAAAUUGUCUAGAAAGUCACCUGAUGCCUCCAUCCAUGAGAGUGUCCUCGCUGAUUCUGCUGUCUAAAGGAUUCCCUCCGGAGACCAUGUGAUCACUGACCUUAUACGCCGCUCAUCAUUGAGGAUCCGCCUCGUAUGGAUUCAGUGUCUGUGGAUAUUUUGCGCCUCUAUUGUCAAAUGUUUUAUUCUGUCAUAAUAAAAAAUAAUUGUUUAUGAAGUGUG